Molecule: ribosomal RNA, 253 nt
Filed under: uncultured bacterium
Lineage: Bacteria
Description: partial 16S ribosomal RNA
Rfam family: Bacterial small subunit ribosomal RNA
Source: RNAcentral
UACAGAGGGGGCAAGCGUUGCUCGGUAUCACUGGGCUUAAAGGGCGCGUAGGCGGUGCGGUACGGUUUCGGUGAAAUCCCUCGGCCCAACCGAGGAACAGCCGGGGCUACGGCCGCGCUAGACGGCAUCAGGGGACAGUGGAACUCCCGGUGGAGCGGUGAAAUGCGUAGAUAUCGGGAGGAACGCCGGUGGCGAAAGCGACUGUCUGGGGUGCCUGUGACGCUGAGGCGCGAAAGCCAGGGGAUCAAACGGG